UCGGUUGAUCCUGCCGGACCUGACUGCUAUCGGAUUGAUACUAAGCCAUGCGAGUCAUUGUAGCAAUACAAGGCAGACGGCUCAGUAACGCGUAGUCAACCUACCCUAUGGACGGGAAUAACCUCGGGAAACUGAGUAUAAUGCCCGAUAGAACACUAUACCUGGAAUGGUUUGUGUUUCAAAUGAUUUAUCGCCGUAGGAUGGGACUGCGGCCUAUCAGUUUGUUGGUGAGGUAAUGGCCCACCAAGACUAUUACAGGUACGGGCUCUGAGAGGAGUGGCCCGGAGAUGGGUACUGAGACACGGACCCAGGCCCUAUGGGGCGCAGCAGGCGAGAAAACUUUGCAAUGUGCGAAAGCACGACAAGGUUAAUCCGAGUGGUUUCUGCUAAAGGAACCUUUUGUUAGUCCUAGAAACACUGACGAAUAAGGGGUGGGCAAGUUCUGGUGUCAGCCGCCGCGGUAAAACCAGCACCUCAAGUGGUCAGGAUGAUUAUUGGGCCUAAAGCAUCCGUAGCCGGCUCUGUUAGUUUUCGGUUAAAUCUGUACGCUUAACGUACAGGCUGCCGGGAAUACUGCAGAGCUAGGGAGUGGGAGAGGUAGACGGUACUCGGUAGGAAGGGGUAAAAUCCUUUGAUCUAUUGAUGACCACCUGUGGCGAAGGCGGUCUACCAGAACACGUCCGACGGUGAGGGAUGAAAGCUGGGGGAGCAAACCGGAUUAGAUACCCGGGUAGUCCCAGCUGUAAACUAUGCAAACUCAGUGAUGCAUUGGCUUGUGGCCAAUGCAGUGCUGCAGGGAAGCCGUUAAGUUUGCCGCCUGGGAAGUACGUACGCAAGUAUGAAACUUAAAGGAAUUGGCGG
RNAcentral lists this ribosomal RNA (861 nucleotides) under uncultured archaeon. Its description in RNAcentral is "bacterial SSU rRNA". It matches the Rfam family "Archaeal small subunit ribosomal RNA", at positions 4 to 871 of the family's 1478-position model. The record is from RNAcentral.